Molecule: ribosomal RNA, 382 nt
Filed under: uncultured Haloquadratum sp.
Lineage: Archaea; Methanobacteriati; Methanobacteriota; Halobacteria; Halobacteriales; Haloferacaceae
Description: bacterial SSU rRNA
Rfam family: Archaeal small subunit ribosomal RNA
Source: RNAcentral
UUAACCCGUCAUAUCGAUCUCAGGCUUGAAUCGCAGAGAUCACAAAACGCCCCGGCGCUGUAGGAUGUGGCUGCGGUUGAUUAGGUAGACGGUGGGGUAACGGCCCACCGUGCCCAUAAUCAGUACAGGUUGUGAGAGCAAGAACCUGGAGACGGAAUCUGAGACAAGAUUCCGGGCCCUACGGGGCGCAGCAGGCGCGAAACCUUUACACUGCACGCACGUGCGAUAAGGGGACUCCGAGUGCGAGGGCAUAUCGUCCUCGCUUUCGUGUACCGUAGGGUGGUACACCAACAAGGGCUGGGCAAGACCGGUGCCAGCCGCCGCGGUAAUACCGGCAGCCCGAGUGAUGGCCGAUCUUAUUGGGCCUAAAGCGUCCGUAGCU